Molecule: small nuclear RNA, 104 nt
Organism: Bison bison bison
Lineage: Eukaryota; Metazoa; Chordata; Mammalia; Artiodactyla; Bovidae
Source: Ensembl
GAGCUUACUUCUAUAGCACAUGUACUAAAAUCGAAACAAUACAGAGAUUAGCAUGGCCCCUGCACAAGGAUGUCAUGUAAAUUUGUGAAGCAUUCAUAUUUUAA